CAAACGACUCUCGGCAACGGAUAUCUCGGCUCACGCAUCGAUGAAGAACGUAGCAAAAUGCGAUACUUGGUGUGAAUUGCAGAAUCCCGUGAACCAUCGAGUUUUUGAACGCAAGUUGCGCCCGAAGCCUUUUGGCCAAGGGCACGUCUGCCUGGGCGUCACWC
Molecule: ribosomal RNA, 164 nt
Filed under: Hubertia tomentosa var. tomentosa
Lineage: Eukaryota; Viridiplantae; Streptophyta; Magnoliopsida; Asterales; Asteraceae
Description: 5.8S ribosomal RNA
Rfam family: 5.8S ribosomal RNA
About the family: 5.8S ribosomal RNA (5.8S rRNA) is a component of the large subunit of the eukaryotic ribosome. It is transcribed by RNA polymerase I as part of the 45S precursor that also contains 18S and 28S rRNA. Functionally, it is thought that 5.8S rRNA may be involved in ribosome translocation.
Source: RNAcentral